This 1708-nucleotide long non-coding RNA is filed under the name Trifolium pratense (red clover). RNAcentral describes it as "long non-coding RNA (TPRA_LNC012613)". Lineage: Eukaryota; Viridiplantae; Streptophyta; Magnoliopsida; Fabales; Fabaceae. The record is from RNAcentral.
UCUGCAUCACCACUCAAAUUCAUUGGUGUAUGUAUUAUCAACUUGUACUCUAUUCUUUGCUCACUAAUUCCAUUCCACAACCACUAAUUCGAAACGGAGCAAACAAAUCUAACACAACUUCUACAACUGUAGCAGAAAAAUCUUCUUUUUGCUCAUGAACUUAAAUUGCAUCAAGGUAUGCUUUUUUUCUUUUUUCCUGACUACAUUAAGGUGUGUGUGAUUUAAUUUGACAAGAUAUUAGCAUGAAUGCAUGUUGCAUAUUAGGUUCAAUGUGAAUGUGAGGUUAGUUUGUAUUAUAUUGUACACUCUAAGUGCUUGACAAAAUGUCCGAGUGAAAUGUGUGAUUGAUUAUUGAUUAGUUUCCAUGUGAUUUAUGUUGCCAUACCAUAGGUGUUAGAGUGAAAUGUGUGAUUUAAUUCGACAAUAUCUUUUUUGCUCCCACAGAUAGAAAACUUGAAUGGAAGAGGAGACAGAAGGACUUCCGAAAGCGCAUCUUUUACACAUGUAGUAAGGUAUGUUGAUGAGUAAAAUUGUUCAUUGUUUGGUUUAGGAAGAAAACCGAACUGAACCAUCACAACAGUUCCAUAAAAUUGAAUUGAACCGUUAAUGGUUCGUCCUGAAUCGAACUGGUAUAUAGGUUCGGUACACCAAUUUUUUGGUUCCAAACCAGAAUUACCUCUAAAGAAAACAAAUUGUGCUUUUUCGAACUGAACCGUACCAAACUGAUAUUAUUAAUUGAUAAUUAGGACCGUUUAAAAACCAAAAACCGAAUAUAACUGUUAAACCGAACCGAACCACACCAAAAUGAACCGAAUUCUGACAUAGUUCAUCUUCUAUUGCUGCUUCUUCAUUUCUUGGUAGAAGAUGUAGGUCCAAAAUUUGUAUAAGAUUAUUAGGAAAUGAAUUUUCAACAAACAUGUGUAGAUUUUGACCAUCUUCAAACAUUUCAUCUGUCGGUCUUCUUCCGGUAAGCAUUUCCAACAUAAGCACCCCAAAGCUAUACAUGUCACCAUAUAUGGAUAUUUCAGAACCCAUUCCAUACUCUACAAAAUAAAACAAAAACAAGAAUAUUUUUUAAUAUAUAAAACAUAAAACAAAAGACAGGCUAAUUCAAUGAAACACUAAGUGAUCUAAGAGUCUAGAAAAUACCAGGAGGAGCAUAUCCAAUAGUCCCUUUAAUUCCAAUAGUACUACUUUCCUUGUGAGAGGUAUUGUCAAUGGUUGAGACAAGUCUUGCUAUUCCAAAAUCACUCACAUGAGCAAUCAUGUCAUCGUCAAGAAGGACAUUGCUUGGCUUUAGAUCACAAUGAAUAACCAAUUGCUCACAUUCAUGAUGAAGGUAAUGUAAUACAGAUGCAAUGCCGACAAUGAUAUUCAAUCUUUGAUUUAGGUCCAACAUUCUUUGAUUCCCUGCAUUCAUUAACCCUGGAUGUAGCCAUUGUUCUAAGCUUCCAUUGUUCAUGUAUUCAAACACUAAUGCCUUAAAUUCUUGACCCUUGUAAUCUGUACUUGAACAACAUGUCAAAAUUUUAACCAAGUUUCGAUGUCUUACAUUUUUAAGUGUAUUACAUUCUGCAAUGAAACUCUUGUGAGCUCCUUUCUUUUGAAGGUUCAGGACCUUUAUGGCAACAACUUUAUCUUCUGAUGCGAGAUUACCUUUGUACACAGAACCAAAACUUCCUAAUCCAACCAAGUUGCUAGCAGAAAA